GAUUAACGCUAGCGGCAGGCCUAAUACAUGCAAGUCGAACGGGAUUCAAAGUAGCAAUAUUUUGAUGAGAGUGGCGCACGGGUGAGUAACACGUAUGCAAUUUACCUUUAACUGGGGGAUAGCUCUCCGAAAGGAGGAUUAAUACCGCAUAAUAUAUUGAAAUGGCAUCAUUUUAAUAUUAAACCUACGGGGGUUAAAGAUGAGCAUGCAUCCGAUUAGCUAGUUGGUGUGGUAACGGCUCACCAAGGCAACGAUCGGUAGGGGGUCUGAGAGGAUGAUCCCCCACACUGGUACUGAGACACGGACCAGACUCCUACGGGAGGCAGCAGUAAGGAAUAUUGGACAAUGGAGGCAACUCUGAUCCAGCCAUGCCGCGUGAAGGAUUAAGGCCCUAUGGGUUGUAAACUUCUUUUAGACGGACGAAACCCUUAACCGUUACGUAAGGGUUAAGGUAGUGGUACGUAGUCGUACGAAUAAAGUACGACUACGGUCCGGUAACUUACCGUUGGUCCGACGACGACGACCGGCCGGGUAACCGUAACCGACGGAA
RNAcentral lists this ribosomal RNA (550 nucleotides) under uncultured bacterium. RNAcentral's name for it is "bacterial SSU rRNA". It matches the Rfam family "Bacterial small subunit ribosomal RNA", at positions 28 to 486 of the family's 1533-position model. The record is from RNAcentral.